This 450-nucleotide ribosomal RNA is filed under the name uncultured bacterium. RNAcentral describes it as "bacterial SSU rRNA". It matches the Rfam family "Bacterial small subunit ribosomal RNA", at positions 32 to 461 of the family's 1533-position model. The record is from RNAcentral.
AAUCAACGCUGGCGGCGUGCCUCAGACAUGCAAGUCGAACGCGAAAGUCCCCUUCGGGGGGCAAGUAGAGUGGCGCACCGGGUGAGUAACACGUAGGUAAUCUACCUUUGGAUGGGGAAUAACAACCGGAAACGGUUGCUAAUACCGCAUAAUGCAGCGGCACCUAAUGGUGACAGUUGUUAAAGCGGGGGAUCGAAAGACCUCGCGUCUGAAGAGGAGCCUGCGGCGGAUUAGCUAGNGGUAAGGUAACGGCUUACCAAGGCAACGAUCCGUAGCCGGCCUGAGAGGGCGGUCGGCCACACUGACACUGACAUACGGGUCAGACUCCUACGGGAGGCAGCAGUCGGGAAUUUUGGGCAAUGGGCGAAAGCCUGACCCAGCAACGCCGCGUGAAGGAUGAAAUCCCUCGGGAUGUAAACUUCGCAAGAACGGGAAGAAUAAGUAGGGGAC